This 963-nucleotide ribosomal RNA is filed under the name Helicoma muelleri. RNAcentral's name for it is "LSU rRNA". It matches the Rfam family "Eukaryotic large subunit ribosomal RNA", at positions 38 to 964 of the family's 3401-position model. The record is from RNAcentral. Lineage: Eukaryota; Fungi; Ascomycota; Dothideomycetes; Tubeufiales; Tubeufiaceae.
GCAUAUCAAUAAGCGGAGGAAAAGAAACCAACAGGGAUUGCCUCAGUAACGGCGAGUGAAGCGGCAAUAGCUCAAAUUUGAAAUCUGGCUCUUUUAGAGUCCGAGUUGUAAUUUGUAGAAGAUGCUUCGGCUUAUGCUCCGGUCUAAGUUCCUUGGAACAGGACGUCACAGAGGGUGAGAAUCCCGUUUGUGGCCGGUAGUUUUUGCCAUGUGAAGCUCCUUCGACGAGUCGAGUUGUUUGGGAAUGCAGCUCUAAAUGGGAGGUAAAUUUCUUCUAAAGCUAAAUAUUGGCCAGAGACCGAUAGCGCACAAGUAGAGUGAUCGAAAGAUGAAAAGCACUUUGGAAAGAGAGUUAAAAAGUACGUGAAAUUGUUGAAAGGGAAGCGCUUGCGACCAGACUUGUCUUCAGUUGUUCCGCCGGUCCUCUCGACCGGUGUAUUCUUCUGUUGUCAGGCCAGCAUCAGUUUGGGUGGUUGGAUAAAGGCAUUGGGAAUGUGACUUCUUUCGGGAAGUGUUAUAGCCCUUUGUGUAAUACAGCCUACCUAGACUGAGGACCGCGCUUCGGCUAGGAUGCUGGCGUAAUGGUCGUAAGCGGCCCGUCUUGAAACACGGACCAAGGAGUCUAACAUCUAUGCGAGUGUUUGGGUGUCAAACCCGUGCGCGUAAUGAAAGUGAACGGAGGUGGGAACCUUUUAGGUGCACCAUCGACCGAUCCUGAUGUCUUCGGAUGGAUUUGAGUAAGAGCAUAGCUGUUGGGACCCGAAAGGUGAGCUUUAAUCCCCCAAUUCCUUUGUAUAAAUCAAAUGCUAAUAUGUUUAAUAGAUGGUGAACUAUGCCUGAAUAGGGUGAAGCCAGAGGAAACUCUGGUGGAGGCUCGCAGCGGUUCUGACGUGCAAAUCGAUCGUCAAAUUUGGGUAUAGGGGGCGAAAGACUAAUCGAACCAUCUAGUAGCUGGUGCUGCGA